AUGGCGGUCGGGAGCUCGCCGACGCCGCCGGAGAUCCGCUCGCCGGAGCGGGACAGGCCGGAGGAUGCGGCGGGCGCGGAGGGCGAGGAGGAGGAGGAGGAGUUCGGUGACGCCUUCGAUAUACCCCAUAAGAACGCAUCCCACGACAGCUUGCUCCGAUGGAGGCAAGCUGCUCUUGUGCUGAAUGCUUCACGUCGGUUUAGAUAUACUCUAGACCUUAAAAAGGAGGAAGAGAAAGAGAUAAUUAGAAGAACAAUCCGAUCACAUGCACAAGUGAUACGGGCAGUAUUUCUUUUCAAAGAAGCCGGAGAAAAUGAUCCCAGAGAAGCUUAUACUGGUAUAAAAUUUACAACGGCCUCUCGAGGUUUUCCAAUUGAAAUGGAAAAGCUUAAAACUUUAAACAGAGAUCAUGACAGUGUUCUUCUUCAGGAAAUUAGAGGAGUUAAGGGGCUGUCAGAUUUAUUAAAGAGUAAUUUAGACAGGGGAAUUAAUCCAACUGAGGAUGAAUUGUUACAAAGGAGGGAUGUUUUCGGAGCAAAUACAUAUCCACGCAAGAAAAGAAAAAGCAUACUGCGUUUUGUAUUUGAUGCAUGCAAAGAUUUAACUCUCAUCAUUCUAAUGGUAGCUGCUGCCAUAUCUCUUACGUUGGGCAUGGCCACAGAGGGUGUCAAGGAAGGAUGGUAUGAGGGGGGGAGUAUUUUUUUAGCUGUUUUUCUUGUGAUACUUGUCACCGCAACCAGUGAUUACAGGCAAUCACUUCAGUUUCAACAUCUGAAUGAGGAGAAACAGAACAUACAAGUGGAGGUUCUUAGAGGUGGUAAAAGAUUUCGAACUUCAAUAUUUGACCUUGUUGUGGGUGAUGUGGUUCCCCUGAAUAUUGGUGACCAAGUUCCUGCUGAUGGUAUCCUGAUAUCUGGCCAUUCUCUUGCAAUUGACGAAUCAAGUAUGACUGGGGAAUCAAAAACUGUUCACAAGGAUCAAAAGGCUCCGUUCUUGAUGUCUGGUUGCAAGGUUGCAGAUGGCUAUGGUUCUAUGUUGGUAACAGGUGUGGGUAUCAACACUGAAUGGGGCCAGUUGAUGGCUAACCUUUCUGAAGAUAAUGGUGAAGAAACCCCAUUGCAGGUGCGUUUGAAUGGUGUUGCUACUUUUAUUGGCAUGGUGGGUCUGUCAGUAGCUGGUGUUGUACUUGGCGUGCUUGCGAUAAGAUAUUUUACUGGACAUACCAAGAAUCCGGAUGGGACUGUUCAAUUUCGGGCUGGAACUACUGGUCUCAAACAAGGAUUUAUGGGUGCAAUCAGAAUUUUAACAAUCGCCGUAACCAUCGUAGUUGUUGCUGUGCCUGAGGGACUUCCACUGGCCGUAACAUUGACACUUGCGUAUUCAAUGCGAAAGAUGAUGCGAGACAAGGCGCUGGUGAGGCGGCUCUCAUCUUGUGAAACAAUGGGAUCAGCGACUACUAUAUGUAGUGAUAAGACAGGAACUCUCACCUUGAAUAAGAUGACAGUUGUGGAGGCACACUUUAUCGGGACAAGGUUGGAUCCUUGUGAUGAUGUUAGGGCAAUCUCAAGUAGUUCAGCGGCACUGCUUAUUGAAGGAAUUGCACAAAACACUACAGGAACUGUAUUUUUGCCAGAGGAUGGGGGAGCAGCUGAUGUUACAGGUUCACCAACUGAAAAAGCCAUUCUUUCUUGGGGCCUUAAGAUAGGGAUGGAUUUCAAUGAUGUUCGGUCAAAGUCUUCAGUUCUUCAUGUAUUUCCAUUUAAUUCAGAGAAGAAGCGAGGUGGUGUUGCAGUGCAGUCAGAUACCGGGGUCCACAUCCAUUGGAAAGGUGCAGCUGAGUUAGUGCUAUCAUCUUGCAAAAGUUGGCUUUCUCUGGAUGGUUCAGUUCAGCCAAUGGGUGCACAGAAGCGUAAUGAGUACAAGAAAUCAAUUGAAGACAUGGCAAAGAGUUCACUACGAUGUGUUGCUUUUGCAUAUUGUCAAUGUGAUAUUGAAAAAAUUCCGAAGGAAGACAUAGCUGAUUGGAAGUUACCUGAGGAGGAUCUGACUCUUCUUGGUAUUGUGGGCAUAAAGGAUCCAUGUCGCCCAGGAGUGAGGAGUGCUGUACAAUUAUGCAAAAAUGCUGGUGUAAAGGUGCGCAUGGUCACAGGAGAUAAUAUUGAAACAGCCAAGGCAAUAGCGUUGGAGUGCGGAAUACUAGAUGCAAAUGGUGUUAUUUCAGAGCCAUUUGUAAUAGAGGGAAAAGCGUUCCGCGAGAUGUCUGAAAUUGCAAGAGGAGAGAUUGCUGACAAGAUAACUGUCAUGGGAAGAUCAUCUCCAAAUGACAAACUUUUGCUUGUCCAAGCUUUGAAAAGGAAAGGCCAUGUUGUGGCUGUCACUGGUGAUGGCACAAAUGAUGCCCCUGCAUUGCAUGAGGCUGAUAUAGGUCUUGCAAUGGGCAUGUCAGGGACAGAAGUUGCUAAAGAAAGCUCUGACAUUAUAAUCUUGGAUGAUGACUUCACAUCUGUUGUGAAGGUUGUUCGCUGGGGACGCUCUGUCUAUGCAAAUAUUCAGAAAUUCAUCCAGUUCCAGCUUACUGUUAACGUUGCCGCACUUGUGAUUAAUGUUAUUGCAGCUGUGUCAUCUGGUGACGUGCCUCUAAAUGCUGUUGAGCUUCUCUGGGUGAACCUUAUCAUGGAUACACUGGGAGCUCUUGCUUUAGCAACUGAACCACCAACAGACAACCUUAUGAAGAGACAGCCUGUUGGUCGAAGGGAGCCACUUGUGACCAAUAUUAUGUGGAGAAACUUGUUUGUCCAGGCCAUUUACCAAAUAGCAAUCCUUCUUAUCUUUAAUUUCUCUGGAAAAAAGAUUCUACGGCUGCAGAAUGAAAGUCCAGAUAACGCCGAGAAAAUGAAGAACACAUUUAUCUUCAAUACAUUUGUAUUUUGCCAGAUCUUCAACGAGUUCAAUGCGCGUAAGCCUGAGGAAAGGAAUGUCUUCAAAGGAGUAACAAAGAAUCACCUCUUCAUGGGAAUAGUUUGUGUAACUACCGUGUUUCAGAUACUAAUAGUUGAAUUCCUGGGAAAGUUCUUUAAAAUUGUGAGACUUAACUGGAGUCUAUGGUUAGUUUCAGUUGCCAUUGGCGUCGUAAGCUGGCCUUUGGCUUAUCUAGGGAAAUUCAUUCCAGUUCCUGUAAGACCUCUCCAGGCCUAUUUCAAGCCUUGUUGGAAAUCAUCACGCCGAGACGAAGAGGAAGGCAGGCAGGGCUAA
Molecule: ribosomal RNA, 3252 nt
Filed under: Triticum aestivum (bread wheat)
Lineage: Eukaryota; Viridiplantae; Streptophyta; Magnoliopsida; Poales; Poaceae
Description: partial small subunit ribosomal RNA
Source: RNAcentral